RNAcentral lists this long non-coding RNA (1499 nucleotides) under Macaca mulatta (Rhesus monkey). RNAcentral's name for it is "lncRNA (ENSMMUG00000062595.1)". The record is from RNAcentral. Lineage: Eukaryota; Metazoa; Chordata; Mammalia; Primates; Cercopithecidae.
GAACCAUUUAAGAGUUAAUCCUUUUAACAGCAAAUCUAAACUCUUCUGGACUAUUAACACCCUAUGACUAUUUGUUUGACUUAGUAAAUAUUACCCUGUCUUCAAAGGCAUAAGAUCUUGUUUGAGUUUUGUUUCAUUCAUAAUUUUUCAAAUUCAUUUUCUAUGAGACUUUUGUAACUAAUUUGAAGUAACUUGAAAACCCAUGGGAUAUUCAGAGAUAUCACAGCAUCAUAUAUCUGCAGAUAUUUGGCCUAAAACUAUCUAUCCUGAAAACUGGUAUGAUAUUUAUGAUGUUUCUCCGUUUAAGGGAGAAGAAAAGAUGCUGACUUUUGCCAUGCAUAGGAGUGGAGGGCAGAGGUACAGAAAUAGGAGGGUCAUUGUGAGUCACUGCUGCGAUAUCAUGAAAUAGGACAUUCUCCCUCCAUUGCACUGAUCUCAACGGCUGCUUUCUACACGAAGAACUGGAGGUUAAUGGGAGAUGGCAGCCCAUGGCAGAAACAAAGAUGCUCAUGGUGAGUCACCUUCAGUAGGGAGUGCAGUAAGUUUCCUUGUAACAGCUUUGCAGGUAACUGGACUUGCUUAGAAGGAGCAGCCAGAUUAGAAAAGAUAGACUUGGCAGGUCUUCGUAUGGUAAUUACAUCUGACUCACUGGCAUAAGGGACACAUUUUUUGGGGGGGUGGGGGGUUGGGAGUAGAAUUUCCUGAUGUAAGUAGGAUUUAUUCUGAAGGACGAAGUAUCUUACCUGAAGAAUGUUGAGUAUGGAACCAUUGUAACGUGGUAUAAAUUUAUAUACGUCUUAUUUGUAGCCACAGGCAUAGCAAGAUUGGGUGAUCUCAUGGUUACAUAUUUAAAAAAAUAACAGGCCUGGUGCAGUGGGUCACACCUGUAAUCCCCACACUUUGGGAGGCUGAGGCGGGUGAAUAACGAGGUCAGGAGAUUGAGACCAUCCUGGCUAACACGGUGAAACCCCGUCUCUACUAAAAAAAAAAAAAAAAAAAAAAAAAAAAAAAAAAAAAAAACAAACAAAAAACUUAGCCAGGCGUGGUGGCAUGCGCCUGUAGUUCCAGCUACUCAGGAUGCUGAGGCAGAAGAAUUGCUUGAACCCGGGAGAUGGAGGUUGCAGUGAGCCAAGAUUGCACCACUGCACUCCAGCCUAGGUGACAGAGUGAGACUCCAUCUCAAAAAAAAAAUAUAUAUAUAUAUAAUAUAUAUAUAUUUAUAUAUAUAUAUAUGUAUACGUGUGUAUGUGUGUGUAUUUCAAAGGGAAGCCAAAAGUGCUCCAAAUAUUGUGUAAAUUUUAUGUAUGGCUCUGGAGAAUUUUCCCUCUGGGGAGUUUCUUCAUGGUUUAGAUCAAUUUGAACUCCUCCAAAUGACUUCAUAUGGAAAAUACCAGGUAGUCCAAGGAAGCCAGCCAGGAACCCUCUGGUUUCAAACACCAAACUGGGAUCGUAAACUAAGUCAAUAUUUUUCAUAAAUUCCUGACACAGUCUCAGAGAGG